RNAcentral lists this long non-coding RNA (222 nucleotides) under Gossypium raimondii (Peruvian cotton). Its description in RNAcentral is "long non-coding RNA (GRAI_LNC005549)". The record is from RNAcentral. Lineage: Eukaryota; Viridiplantae; Streptophyta; Magnoliopsida; Malvales; Malvaceae.
GUUUUGGCUUUUAAAGAUGAAUUACAAUGUUUAUUAUUUUUUGUUUUUCUUUCUUUCUUUCUCUGUUGUUCUCUGUUUCUUCUUUUUGUAAGUGACAUAGUGGCGUUCUUCGGGUUAAUGGCUGUGGAGUUGUGCCCUUUUCCAUUUCGGUGAAAUGGUGGCAGAGGAUAGGGGUGUCAGAUCUGGGGGUCUUGGGGGUAUGCCUCUUGACGUAGGGCAACG